UGUUGAACAACAGAGUUGAAUGUUCGACAUAAAAACACACACCAAAAUAAUUUCAACAUUUGACAGAAAACAGACAAUUGAUGAAUGCAUUUUAAAUUUCAUACAUGUUCAUGCGUCUGUAGCUGCCAAAUUCUGAUCUUUUUACCACUGAUUGGUGUUUUCACCAAUCAGAUCAGCCGUCUUGCCAGCAAAAGCCUUCUAUUUUAUGUUCACCAGCUAAAAAGUCUCCUAUCAGAUUGACCUGUCAGAAUGAUAUCAUGAAUGAUAUCAUCAAUCCAGUGGCCUUUUGUUCUCAUGUGUGUUACAGGAACACUGCUAACCCAACAACAGUACUCGGUGCCUGUACCACAGAAACACUGCUAACCCAACAACAGUACUAGGUGCCUGUACUACAGAAACACUGCUAACCCAACAACAGUGCUAGGUCCCUGUACUACAGAAACACUGCUAACCCAACAACAGUACUCGGUGCCUGUACUACAGAAACACUGCUAACCCAACAACAGUACUUGGUGCCUGUACUACAGAAACACUGCUAACCCAACAACAGUACUAGGUGCCUGUACUACAGAAACACUGCUAACCCAACAACAGUACUAGGUGCCUGUACUACAGAAACACUGCUAACCCAACAACAGUACUAGGUCCCUGUACUACAGAAACACUGCUAACCCAACAACAGUACUAGGUGCCUGUACUACAGAAACACUGCUAACCCAACAACAGUACUUGGUGCCUGUACUACAGAAACACUGCUAACCCAACAACAGUACUAGGUGCCUGUACUACAGAAACACUGCUAACCCAACAACAGUACUCUGUGCCUGUACUACAGAAACACUGCUAACCCAACAACAGUACGAGGUCCCUGUACUACAGAAACACUGUUAACCCAACAACAGUACUCUGUGCCUGUAAUACAGAAACACUGUUAACCCAACAACAGUACUCGGUGCCUGUACUACAGAAACACUGCUAACCCAACAACAGUACUAGGUGCCUGUACUACAGAAACACUGCUAACCCAACAACAGUACGAGAUGCAUGUACUACAGAAACACUGUUAACCCAACAACAGUACUCGGUGCCUGUACUACAGAAACACUGCUAACCCAACAACAGUACUAGGUGCCUGUACUACAGAAACACUGCUAACCCAACAACAGUACUAGGUGCCUGUACUACAGAAACACUGUUAACCCAACAACAGUGCUAGGUCCCUGUACUACAGAAACACUGUUAACCCAACAACAGUACUCUGUGCCUGUACUACAGAAACACUGCUAACCCAACAACAGUACUAGGUGCCUGUACUACAGAAACACUGCUAACCCAACAACAGUACUAGGUGCCUGUACUACAGAAACACUGCUAACCCAACAACAGUACUAGGUGCCUGUACUACAGAAACACUGUUAACCCAACAACAGUACUCGGUGCCUGUACUACAGAAACACUGCUAACCCAACAACAGUACUAGGUGCCUGUACUACAGAAACACUGCUAACCCAACAACAGUACUAGGUGCCUGUACUACAGAAACACUGUUAACCCAACAACAGUACUCGGUGCCUGUACUACAGAAACACUGCUAACCCAACAACAGUACUAGGUGCCUGUACUACAGAAACACUGCUAACCCAACAACAGUACUAGGUGCCUGUACUACAGAAACACUGUUAACCCAACAACAGUACUAGGUGCCUGUACUACAGAAACCCUGCUACCCCAACAACAGUACUAGGUGCCUGUACUACAGAAACACUGUUAACCAAACAACAGUACUCUGUGCCUGUAAUACAGAAACACUGCUAACCCAACAACAGUACGAGAUGCAUGUACUACAGAAACACUGUUAACCCAACAACAGUACUAGGUGCCUGAACUACAGAAACCCUGCUACCCCAACAACAGUACCAGGUGCCUGUACUACAGAAACCCUGUUAACCCAACAACAGUACGAGAUGCCUGUACUACAGAAACACUGCUAACCCAACAACAGUACUAGGUGCCUGUACUUCAGAAACACUGUUAACCAAACAACAGUACUCUGUGCCUGUACUACAGAAACACUGUUAAC
Oncorhynchus keta (chum salmon) is the source of this 2080-nucleotide long non-coding RNA. RefSeq lists it as uncharacterized. Lineage: Eukaryota; Metazoa; Chordata; Actinopteri; Salmoniformes; Salmonidae. The record is from RefSeq and is a predicted model, not a curated record. The transcript is spliced from 3 exons.